RNAcentral lists this long non-coding RNA (1161 nucleotides) under Takifugu rubripes (torafugu). Its description in RNAcentral is "lncRNA (ENSTRUG00000030816.1)". Lineage: Eukaryota; Metazoa; Chordata; Actinopteri; Tetraodontiformes; Tetraodontidae. The record is from RNAcentral.
CCCCACUGGCCUGGUCAUCCCUCCAUCCUCAUCCCUCCAUCCAUCCAUCAUCAUCCCUCCAUCCUCAUCCCUCCAUCCAUCCAUCAUCAUCCCUCCAUCCUCAUCCCUCCAUCCAUCCAUCAUCAUCCCUCCAUCAUCAUCCUCCAUCCCUCCAUCAUCCAUCACCAUCCCUCCAUCAUCCAUCACCCAUCCCUCCAUCAUCCCAUCCCUCCAUCACCCAUCAUCCAUCCCUCCAUCAUCCAUCACCCAUCCAUCCAUCACCCAUCCCUCCAUCACCCAUCAUCCAUCCCUCCAUUAUCCAUCCAUUACCCAUCCCUCCAUCAUCCAUCAUCCAUCAUCCAUCCGUCCACCAUCAUCCCUCCAUCAUCAUCCCUCCAUCAUCCAUCCCCCAUCACCCAUCCCUCCAUCAUCAUCCCUCCAUCAACAUCCCUCCAUCCCUCCAUCACCCAUCCAUCCAUCCCUCCAUCAUCCAUCCAUCAUCCAUCCAUCAUCCGUCCAUCCAUCAUCCAUCCCUCCAUCAUCUUCCCUCCAUCAUCCAUCACCCAUCCAUCCAUCACCCAUCCAUCUCUCCAUCACCCAUCCCUCAUCAUCCAUCCCUCCAUCACCCAUCCCUCCAUCAUCCAUCCCUCCAUCAUCCAUCCAUCUCUCCAUCACCCAUCCCUCCAUCACCCAUCCAUCCAUCACCCAUCCAUCUCUCCAUCACCCAUCCCUCCAUCAUCCAUCCCUCCAUCACCCAUCCCUCCAUCAUCCAUCACCCAUCCAAAGUCCCAAAGAUGGUCCCCUUUCCAACCCAGCCUGGCUGAAGCCAGAGGAGGUGCAGCCAGAGGAGGUGCAGCCAGAGGAGGUGCAGCCAGAGGAGGUGCAGCCAGAGGAGGUGCAGCCAGAGGAGGUGCAGCCAGGGGAGGUGCAGCCAGAGGAGGUGCAGCCAGAGGAGGUGCAGCCAGAGGAGGUGCAGCCAGAGGGGAACCUGGUGACCAGAGCGAAGCUCCUCCAGGUCCUCCAAACAUAUUUGAGCAGAAUUCCAUUUUCCCCGGUGAGAGUGGGGCAACAACAGCCUGUCCACAGUUUCUGGUCCCCGCCGACAUCAGAGGCUGUCGCUUCCACUCAGUCCACGCUUGUCAACCCAUUCUCCUCCUCCUCGGCCUCUUGAUGGGGGGGUGA